This is a long non-coding RNA of Onychostruthus taczanowskii (white-rumped snowfinch), 920 nucleotides long. RefSeq lists it as uncharacterized. The record is from RefSeq and is a predicted model, not a curated record. NCBI's taxonomy places the organism in Eukaryota, Metazoa, Chordata, Aves, Passeriformes, Passeridae. The transcript has 3 exons.
CUGCGGGACCGGCGCUGCGCGGAGAUCCGGAGCGGGGCUGCUCCCGGCGCGGCGCGGUGUCCGGCGCGCUCAGAACCACGAGGACCAUCAAGUCAAAGGCUAAGAAACGAGUGGCCCAGCUGCACAUGGAACACAGAAAUGUGGCCCUCUCAGCAGCCUGCUCCAAGCACCUGAGGCAAUCCAGGAUCAUGACAAGUGCCUGCUGCCAGUAAGAGAGCUCCUGUACAAAUGCAGCUCCUUCCCUUUGGCUAAGGCUGCUUUACACACCAGUGGCUGCAGGGCAGAACUGCUGGCACCUGACGUGACAGCACCAAGCUCUUCCCAUACCCCCGAUUUUUCUGCCCUUUCCAGGAUUUGCUCAGCUGUAAAUGUGCUCACACCACGUCCCUUUGCAGGGAGAAACAAUCAAGAUGAGUCCCCAGGGUUACCUUGGUCCACGGCUGAAGCUCUUCUGGAGAAUGGCAGGGGGCAUUUCCUGCAGGUGAGUGCUGCCAGGUCAAAUCGAUGGUGGCUGCUGAGGCCAGGGCUGUUUUCCCAGCCCAGAGGCCUUGGUGUCUCCUGCUCGCUGCCAGCAAUGUUCCCCCAGGGCAGGGGGAGGCCAGGAGCCCCCGAAAGGCAGCAGCACCUCUUGUCCUUGGGAUCUGCAGGGCACUGCCUGCACCGUGGCUGCUCUGACCAGGACAUGGAGAUGCUCCAGCCCAGAAGGACCCCAAGGAGCCGCUGGCAUUACCUGGGAAUGGUGGCACAGGCUGAAUGUAGAAGGGCUCAGACAGCAAUUCCCAGUCUGGAGCUCCCACACAGCUGCCAGACAUUAAAUCCCAAGCAACAGCCCUCAGAGAUACCUGAAAAUCCGAGGUUUGGGAUGAGGUCUGGAGUUUUUCAGGGAGCCAGCUGAGGUGCAGAAGUCAUGGAAAGCUGUC